RNAcentral lists this small nuclear RNA (182 nucleotides) under Octodon degus (degu). RNAcentral's name for it is "U1 spliceosomal RNA (ENSODEG00000021048.1)". It matches the Rfam family "U1 spliceosomal RNA". From Rfam's summary of the family: U1 is a small nuclear RNA (snRNA) component of the spliceosome (involved in pre-mRNA splicing). Its 5' end forms complementary base pairs with the 5' splice junction, thus defining the 5' donor site of an intron. Lineage: Eukaryota; Metazoa; Chordata; Mammalia; Rodentia; Octodontidae. The record is from RNAcentral.
ACACUUACCUGGCAGGGGAGAUACCAUGACCAUGAAGGUGGUCUUCCCAGGGCGAGGCUUACUCCUUCCACUCAGUGACUGUCUCAGUGCACUUGGGGGUCAGGACCGGCGCCUCCCACCAGGGUCAAACCCCAGCCACUGUGCUCUGCCUAAGCAGGUGCUUCAGUCUGCUGAGCUCUCUC